Molecule: ribosomal RNA, 492 nt
Filed under: uncultured bacterium
Lineage: Bacteria
Description: partial 16S ribosomal RNA
Rfam family: Bacterial small subunit ribosomal RNA
Source: RNAcentral
GGUGAACGCUGGCGGUAGGCCUAACACAUGCAAGUCGAACGGCAGCACAGUAAGAGCUUGCUCUUACGGGUGGCGAGUGGCGGACGGGUGAGGAAUACAUCGGAAUCUACUUUUUCGUGGGGGAUAACGUAGGGAAACUUACGCUAAUACCGCAUACGACCUACGGGUGAAAGCAGGGGAUCUUCGGACCUUGCGCGAUUGAAUGAGCCGAUGUCGGAUUAGCUAGUUGGCGGGGUAAAGGCCCACCAAGGCGACGAUCCGUAGCUGGUCUGAGAGGAUGAUCAGCCACACUGGAACUGAGACACGGUCCAGACUCCUACGGGAGGCAGCAGUGGGGAAUAUUGGACAAUGGGCGCAAGCCUGAUCCAGCCAUACCGCGUGGGUGAAGAAGGCCUUCGGGUUGUAAAGCCCUUUUGUUGGGAAAGAAAAGCAGCAGGUUAAUACCCAGCUGUUCUGACGGUACCCAAAGAAUAAGCACCGGCUAACUUCGUG